This 492-nucleotide ribosomal RNA is filed under the name uncultured bacterium. Its description in RNAcentral is "partial 16S ribosomal RNA". It matches the Rfam family "Bacterial small subunit ribosomal RNA", at positions 29 to 507 of the family's 1533-position model. The record is from RNAcentral.
AGUGAACGCUGGCGGUCGGCCUAACACAUGCAAGUCGAACGGCAGCACAGUAAGAGCUUGCUCUUACGGGUGGCGAGUGGCGGACGGGUGAGGAAUACAUCGGAAUCUACUUUUUCGUGGGGGAUAACGUAGGGAAACUUACGCUAAUACCGCAUACGACCUACGGGUGAAAGCAGGGGAUCUUCGGACCUUGCGCGAUUGAAUGGGCCGAUGUCGGAUUAGCUAGUUGGCGGGGUAAAGGCCCACCAAGGCGACGAUCCGUAGCUGGUCUGAGAGGAUGAUCAGCCACACUGGAACUGAGACACGGUCCAGACUCCUACGGGAGGCAGCAGUGGGGAAUAUUGGACAAUGGGCGCAAGCCUGAUCCAGCCAUACCGCGUGGGUGAAGAAGGCCUUCGGGUUGUAAAGCCCUUUUGUUGGGAAAGAAAAGCAGCAGGUUAAUACCCCGCUGUUCUGACGGUACCCAAAGAAUAAGCACCGGCUAACUUCGUG